Acipenser ruthenus (sterlet) is the source of this 1072-nucleotide long non-coding RNA. RefSeq lists it as uncharacterized. NCBI's taxonomy places the organism in Eukaryota, Metazoa, Chordata, Actinopteri, Acipenseriformes, Acipenseridae. The record is from RefSeq and is a predicted model, not a curated record. The transcript is spliced from 4 exons.
ACUAACCCUUUAACAACAACUACCCCUUUAACAACUACCCCAUUAACAACAACUACCCCGUUAACAACAACUACCCUAGAAACAACCAACUCAACAACUACCCCUUUAACAACAACUACCCCUUUAAUAACAACUACCACCGAGACAACUAACUCAACAAUCAUUUCUGCAACUACCCCAGCAACACCAAACUGGAACACAACAACCAACUCCACAACCCGUCCUCAGCACAUCCAGCAGUUCAGGCUUUCCACAGCGGAAAUAAUCGGCCUUUCCUGUUCAGCUUUGCUGUUCAUACUAACGUUUGUAGUUGUAUAUUUUAUUUGGAAAAAUGGAAAACGGACAAUGAACUCUAAUUAAGGAGAAUAGAGCAAUGAGAUGACCUGUAGAGAGCGCUCUUUUGAGAACCUCACACCAGAUAUCACAGACUUGUGAAAUGACACGUCAUCAUCAUCAUCAUCAUCAUCAUCAUCAUCAUCAUCAUCAUCAUCAUCAUCAUCAUCAUCAGCAGCAGCAUCAUCAUCAUCAUCAUCAUCAUCAUCAUCAUCAUCAUCAUCAUCAUCAUCAUCAUCAUCAUCAUCAGCUCACUGGCAGUAACUAGAGUACACUGUUUGAGUGGCUCACUUGACCUCUUAGUGCUGCACAUCCAGUCCAUUUCUACACAAGACGAUAUAAUCAGGCUUACGAGGACUUCAGUGAGAUACCAUUUCAAAUCGCUGAACAACCUGGGAGUCUGCAACUGGAAACGACCUGUUCAUUCAUCUGCCAUGUGUAACAGAAGUGGGUAAAGGAACCUAUGUGAUACUCCGAGGAUUACACGUGGGUCAGGGGUGAUGGUCAUGCUGAAUUGUGGGUUAGCUAAUCAGAAGACCCUUCAUUAACCCAGACAUGCCUGAAUUGUAAUUCCAAGUGACCUAUAUGUAGGGCAAUAUGAAAUGCACCUGAGUCACUUUAAAUAAUGCAUUGGAAAAUGCCUUGGUUUUAACCCUUGAUAUAGCCUGGAUUUGGCUAAACUCCAUAUUCCUCAAAUCAGAAGUGGGUGAACUCAGUUUAUCCAUGUUUAACCUCGACU